This 285-nucleotide ribosomal RNA is filed under the name Triticum aestivum (bread wheat). RNAcentral describes it as "partial small subunit ribosomal RNA". Lineage: Eukaryota; Viridiplantae; Streptophyta; Magnoliopsida; Poales; Poaceae. The record is from RNAcentral.
AUGACUCGGGAGCUGCCGGAGCUCGCUAACGACGCUGCCCAACCGCUAGCCCCGGCGCCCUUACCAUGGCGGCCUUCAUGGUGCUCGGUGAACACCUCAUGGCGUACAGGUCGCGACGCACAGAUUGCCAUGAACAGGGCCACGGUGAACAGAUUCAUGGCAAAGGGUAACACCGGCGUACAUGUUUUGAAUCACGCUCUUAAAGGAGACGAAGUGGUGCAACCGGAGCUCGCUCACGACACAGCCCGAGACUCGCCUUCCCCUUCACGGUGUAUAGGUCCUUGA